GAUGAACGCUGACAGAAUGCUUAACACAUGCAAGUCAACUUGAACUUCGGUUUGGGUGGCGGACGGGUGAGUAACGCGUAAAGAACUUGCCUCACAGCUAGGGACAACAUUUGGAAACGAAUGCUAAUACCUGAUAUUAUGAUUAUAUGGCAUCGUAUAAUUAUGAAAGCUAUAUGCGCUGUGAGAGAGCUUUGCGUCCCAUUAGCUAGUUGGAGAGGUAACAGCUCACCAAGGCGAUGAUGGGUAGCCGGCCUGAGAGGGUGAUCGGCCACAAGUGGACUGAGACACGGCCCUUACUCCUACGGGAGGCAGCAGUGGGGAAUAUUGGACAAUGGACCGAGAGUCUGAUCCAGCAAUUCUGUGUGCACGAUGAAGUUUUUCGGAAUGUAAAGUGCUUUCAGUUGGGAAGAAAAAAAUGACGGUACCAACAGAAGAAGUGACGGCUAAAUACGUG
RNAcentral lists this ribosomal RNA (454 nucleotides) under uncultured bacterium. RNAcentral's name for it is "partial 16S ribosomal RNA". It matches the Rfam family "Bacterial small subunit ribosomal RNA", at positions 28 to 507 of the family's 1533-position model. The record is from RNAcentral.